GAUGAACGCUGGCGGCGUGCUUAACACAUGCAAGUCGAACGAUGAAGCCCAGCUUGCUGGGUGGAUUAGUGGCGAACGGGUGAGUAACACGUGAGUAACCUGCCCUUAACUCUGGGAUAAGCCUGGGAAACUGGGUCUAAUACCGGAUAGGAGCGCCUACCGCAUGGUGGGUGUUGGAAAGAUUUAUCGGUUUUGGAUGGACUCGCGGCCUAUCAGCUUGUUUGUGAGGUAAUGGCUCACCAAGGCGACGACGGGUAGCCGGCCUGAGAGGGUGACCGGCCACACUGGGACUGAGACACGGCCCAGACUCCUACGGGAGGCAGCAGUGGGGAAUAGUGCACAAUGGGCGAAAGCCUGAUGCAGCGAAGCCGCGUGAGGGAUGACGGCCUUCGGGUUGUAAACCUCUUUCAGUAGGGAAGAAGCGAAAGUGACGGUACCUGCAGAAGAAGCACCGGCUAACUACGUG
This 466-nucleotide ribosomal RNA is filed under the name uncultured bacterium. RNAcentral describes it as "partial 16S ribosomal RNA". It matches the Rfam family "Bacterial small subunit ribosomal RNA", at positions 28 to 507 of the family's 1533-position model. The record is from RNAcentral.